RNAcentral lists this ribosomal RNA (477 nucleotides) under uncultured bacterium. RNAcentral's name for it is "bacterial SSU rRNA". It matches the Rfam family "Bacterial small subunit ribosomal RNA", at positions 43 to 507 of the family's 1533-position model. The record is from RNAcentral.
CAUGCUUAACACAUGCAAGUCGAACGGUACAGGUCUAGCUUGCUAGAUGCUGACGAGUGGCGGACGGGUGAGUAACGCGUGGGAAUCUGCCUUCUAGUGGGGGAUAGCCCCGGAGAAAUCCCGGAUUAAUACCCGCAUACGCCCUACGGGGGAAAGCCGGGGAUCUUCGGACCUGGCGCUAGUAGAUGAGCCCGCGUGAGAUUAGCUUGUUGGUGGGGUAAUGGCCUACCAAGGCAACGAUCUCUAGCUGGUCUGAGAGGACGAUCAGCCACACUGGGACUGAGACACGGCCCACGACUCCUACGGGAGGCAGCAGUGGGGAAUAUUGGACAAUGGGCGAAAGCCCUGAUCCAGCAAUGCCGCGUGUGUGAAGAAGGCCUGAGGGUUGUAAAGCACUUUCAAUCGUGAAGAAAAGUUGCAGGCUAAUACCCUGUGACCUUGACGUUAACGAUACAAGAAGCACCGGCUAACUCCGUG